UACAGAGGGUGCUAGCGUUAAUCGGAUUUACUGGGCGUAAAGCGUGUGUAGGCGGUUCGUUAAGUCGGGUGUGAAAUCCCUGGGCUCAACCCGGGAAUUGCAUUCGAUACUGGCGAGCUAGAGUACGGUAGAGGGCGGCGGAAUUCCGGGUGUAGCGGUGAAAUGCGUAGAUAUCCGGAGGAACACCGAUGGCGAAGGCAACCGCCUGGGCCUGUACUGACGCUGAGACACGAAAGCGUGGGGAGCAAACAGG
Molecule: ribosomal RNA, 253 nt
Filed under: uncultured bacterium
Lineage: Bacteria
Description: partial 16S ribosomal RNA
Rfam family: Bacterial small subunit ribosomal RNA
Source: RNAcentral